CCCCCCCUCUCACAUCUCUAUCUUCCUCUCUCAUCUCUAUCUUCCUCCGCACAUGAAAAACAUAUCCGUCUCUCUCUCAAACUGAAGCAUAGAACUUGGGGGCAUGUAUCCCGAGUGCCAACAGGCAAUGAAGUUGGGGGCGUGAAUACGGCGCACUUACGGAUUACAAUUAAAUUGACCAUAUUUUUUCCGUUUUGUUCUCCAUAUAUUUCAGUUAUUAGUGUGUUGAUUUAGUAGGUAUAUGCCUAUUAUAUUCCAAUUUUUCUCCAGUAUACAGGAUUGCUGCACCAUGUAACUGACAGGUGAGGCUACUUUGGCCCGUCACCUCGGUUGUCAGCCUCAAUCCAUACACGUUUGACAUUAGAAAUCUUCAGAUA
Molecule: long non-coding RNA, 377 nt
Organism: Triticum aestivum (bread wheat)
Lineage: Eukaryota; Viridiplantae; Streptophyta; Magnoliopsida; Poales; Poaceae
Exons: 2
Source: RefSeq, a predicted model, not a curated record